Long non-coding RNA from Dromaius novaehollandiae (emu), 3054 nucleotides. RefSeq lists it as uncharacterized. NCBI's taxonomy places the organism in Eukaryota, Metazoa, Chordata, Aves, Casuariiformes, Dromaiidae. The record is from RefSeq and is a predicted model, not a curated record. The transcript is spliced from 3 exons.
GCCGGGAAACUGUAGUCUGUAACUUUAGAGAGUGAUGAAGUGCUGCUCUCUUGCAGCACCCAGCCAAGUCUGAUGAGCGAUCUGUGUAUGGCUGUGUACGCGCUGUCAUCUGCACAGGCACAGAGGCUCGAGCCCGGCAAAGGGCUCGAAUGAUCACAGGAUCAUGUCGAAGGGGAAAAGUUCAGUUGUAUCAUCGGCUAUUUAGGGGGGUAGUUACAAGGAAGCGGACAAGUUUCUUGUGCUAGUCCCUGGCUUGCUAAUAUGAAUAACCCAUGACUAAACCAUUUGCUCCACAGGGGUUUGUGAGAAUAUCAGAAUGACCUUCUGCAAAUUCUUUGUCACUGUUUAAAAAAGACAGACCGCUGGGUGAUGCAGUUUAAUUCCUGUCUCAGCCCUUAAAGGACUGCUUCAUUUCUCUAAGCAUGGCUGCAGCUGAUAAUUCACAGUCAUCUGAGACCUACAGGGCAUGAACAGCAACUCUGAGUUUAUCCACGCCACUACUUUUCCUGAGCCACAGAGUGGACAGUAAACCUUUCGCACCUCUGUACAAACCACAGGAUGCCUUGUACCUCUACAGCCUGGAGCUCAGCCCACAGCAGUCCAAAACCUGUUAAAAUGCUGCCAAGAAACCUGUGGCAAUGAAAGGACUGCACUUUCCCUGCCUGCUCUGAGUGAUGACCAUGGUGAAAGAGCUCUCUUGGAAUAAAAGCAAGAAGCCUUUGCAAUAUUAUCAAAAGCACUGUCAAUGGGAUGGGGCAGGAUGGCUCCCGAGGCUGUGAUGGAUAUGCAGACAACUACAGCAUGUGCUGUAACCACCUGCAGGGCUCUGGGCAGAGCCGGGAGGACAGCGUGCCAGCACAUAGUGAAUGUGAGCUAUGUUAAUACCUUCACCUCAGUCAUCUGCCAUGAGGGCCAUGGCAUAACUAUGCUAUGCCAGAAGCAACAGUUGGGCUGGUUUUGUCAUCUCACAGCUAGCGCAGAUGAUGCAAGGGAAAAGGCUGAGCAUUUCGACAUGUAGCCUGCCACUCUGGACUUUGCUUUGCCAACAGUCAGCUGCAAAUAUCACACAGGCAUAUGUUUUACUAAGAUCUAACCACCGUGAAUUUUCAGGGAAAGGACUGUGCUACAUGGGUCUGUGCUACACCCGAGCAAGAGAACGGAUGGCUCCUCUCCCAGGCCACUGCUACACCGGACAGAGAAGCUCUGAUUCCUAACAAAGUGGGCAAGGGUUUCUGACAAUGGUGAAUCCACCAAAGCACCAUUUUAUAAAGAGUGCACAUCAGCUGUUCCUACAGUGCUACAAUUAAUCUUUGUCAAAGUUUACUGUUGGUAUAGCUGAGCGUUGUUCAGAGGAAAGGAAUAAACUGGAACAUUUCACAAUCCAUGCCCUAAGGAGUGCAUCAAGAUUUUUUUUAAAGCUGUCCUGUAUUUACUGUAAACAGAGAGCCCUUAGAAAACUCAUGUCACUGGUACUUAGACAUCUCUUGCUUUCUAAUGAAUAAGAUGCAAGAUAAUGGUUAACCUUAAGGGAGUAACACCAGUCUUAGAUGUAAAAGUUGACACAUCAUGAAACAAAUUAACAUGACAUGAAAAAAUCAAAUUAUUGUGCCAGUAGUCGCGUGCUUUUUAUGGUAUAGUGGGUAGGAGUCAAAGGUUUAGGGACACUAAAGAAUUUAUUUCCCUAAUUAGUACUGCCGAGUGUGACCCCAUUAGCUGGAACACGACCUCCAGUAAGCAGGCCCUGACACUGGGCAUGUAUGUACUCGAAAAUCUUACUCUGAGUCAACAGAACCCAUUCGGAAUCUCGUAAAGUUGCCAACAUUUGGAGGAAAAAAAAGAAGUGGUCCAAUAUAAAACUAGCAGAUAUUUUGAGAUCUUCAUAGGCAAACACUUAAAGUUUCAUUGAGAGGCUAACUAAGGAAUUAUAAAAUAACAGAGGCAAAGUUCUGAGCAUCUAGAUUUAUCAAUCUCUACUUCUACUCUCUUUUUCCCUUUGCAGAGCACAGUAAUCACCUGACAUCAACAAGGUAUGCCCCAGAGGCCAGCCACCUUGUGGACUGCAAAAUCCCGCAAGACACUGAGAGGCCCAAAACAAAGUGAUUUAGGGAUUAUUUUGGCCCCUCUUAAGAGGCUUUGCAAGGUCAGGUUUACAGUUUGAGGUCUGACACAACAAUGUGGGGAGGUGCGUGUUCUCUCCAUCUGCCCGACAAGUGACCAGUUGUACAUAAACAAAGGCUUACUCUCCUCCAGUGAUAGCAGUCUCUCAGUUUUCAUUCUGCUUUCAGCUGAGAAUCGCUUUAAUCCCUUGCGACCUUCCAGACAGACACCAUACGUCUAAAUGCAGCAGUACUUAUUAGACUCUGGGGCAUAAUCUGCAUGGUAGAUAUAUUCUGCUGCCUCCAUUGCAAGCAAGGCCUGGACUUGAAGAUGUGAAAUAUAUGAAAGGCCUGGCUAGCCACGGGCAAAGCUAGUUUUAGUCAAACAUGUACAGAGAUGGAUAACUGCUAAGUGGACUGAGGCAAUACGGGGCAGGAGAAUGGUACUGUGUUUAGAAAAUUACUACUUUUAUAAAUCCACUUGUCCAUAGGACAGAGCAAGAUUAAAGCCAAGCAAACGUUCAUGGCCUGCUUCCCUUCAUUCACCAGCAGCCAGUGAGAGUGCCAGAAAAUCUCCUUGUCAUUAAGCUGCAGCAUUAGAAAUGUUGAACCUGAACCACUUGUUCAGUCAGUGCUGAGAAGCUGGGAGUGUCAUGGACCAGGUUAUUCUGCAAAAUCAACAUGGCAUAGAAGAGUAGAAAUUACAGAACAGAAAAUUAAUACUGCAGCAAGUUGGUACUGCCGUGAGGCACUCAUCUGCCAUCAGCAGGGAGCUCUGCCUUGUGGUGGCCUGCCAUAAAUCUUGUGAAUGCGACAUAAGUAAACACUAUGCAAAUAAUAUUUAAAAAAAGUUGAAGAUUAAAUUCACCAAAAAAUGCCAUUUCAUAGGAGCAAGAUCUGCCUGUGAAUGGGGGUUGUCAGUCAAGGCAGCAAAAGAAAGCAGAGAAACAUUUUGAAA